AGUGAACGCUGGCGGUAGGCCUAACACAUGCAAGUCGAACGGCAGCACAGUAAGAGCUUGCUCUUACGGGUGGCGAGUGGCGGACGGGUGAGGAAUACAUCGGAAUCUACUUUUUCGUGGGGGAUAACGUAGGGAAACUUACGCUAAUACCGCAUACGACCUACGGGUGAAAGCAGGGGAUCUUCGGACCUUGCGCGAUUGAAUGAGCCGAUGUCGGAUUAGCUAGUUGGCGGGGUAAAGGCCCACCAAGGCGACGAUCCGUAGCUGGUCUGAGAGGAUGAUCAGCCACACGGGAACUGAGACACGGCCCAGACUCCUACGGGAGGCAGCAGUGGGGAAUAUUGGACAAGGGGCGCAAGCCUGACCCAGCCAUCCCGGGUGGGUGAAGAGGGCCUUGGGUUUGUAAAGCCUUUUUGUGGGAAAAAAAAAGCAGCAGUUUAAUCCCCCGCUGUUCUGACGUUCCCAAAAAAAAAAGCCCCGGCUAACUUCGUG
RNAcentral lists this ribosomal RNA (492 nucleotides) under uncultured bacterium. Its description in RNAcentral is "partial 16S ribosomal RNA". It matches the Rfam family "Bacterial small subunit ribosomal RNA", at positions 29 to 507 of the family's 1533-position model. The record is from RNAcentral.